GCUGCUGCACUGAUAUUGCUGGGUGGUUUCACUCUUCUGCUCUCUGCCAGAUAGCUUCAUACUGAGGCCAUGAUGUUCUUUUGACAGCAGCUCAAGUCUCUGUGUCUGGGGGUGUGUGCCAGUGGAAUGCAUUUGCAAUAGUUCAGAGGUCUGCAGGUUUCCUGUAAAAUGCUUUGGGACCCUGUGGAAGCCUGCCUGGAGCUGAAUGGCCAAUGCCAAGAGCUUAACAUCAGAUAGUGGGUUACUACUGAGGAGCACCUCUCCUGUGGCAGCCUCACCAGCACCCUUCCUGAGAGGGAGCAGGCAAGCAGCCUUCACUGACUUGCUGGCUCCCAACUGAUGGAUCAACAUUAAAUACUAGACUAUAAGUGGAGUGAAGCCAGAAUCAAAAUGACUAAGUGCAAACUUGUUCUGUUAAGGCAUGGGGAAGGAGCCUGGAACAAAGAGAACCGCUUUUGCAGCUGGGUGGAUCAGAAGCUGAGCAGCGAUGGGAUAAAGGAAGCUCGGAACUGUGGGAAACACCUCAAAGCACUAGGUUUUCAGUUUGACCAUGUGUUUACAUCCAUCCUAAGCCGUUCUAUUCAGACUGCUUGGCUGGUGUUAGAAGAGAUGGGGCAAGAAUGGGUUCCCACCCAAAGCUCAUGGCGUCUGAACGAACGCCACUACGGUGCACUGAUAGGUCUCAACAGAGCCGAAAUGGCUCUGAACCAUGGUGAAGAGCAAGUGAAAAUAUGGAGAAGAAGCUAUGAUGUUACUCCACCUCCCAUAACUGAAUCUCAUCCUUACUACAAAGAGAUCUAUAAUGAUCGCAGAUAUAAAUGCUGUGAUGUGUCACAGGACAAACUCCCAAAGGCUGAAAGCUUAAAAGAAGUUCUGGAGAGACUCCUUCCCUAUUGGAAUGAAAAGAUAGCACCAGAACUGAAAAGCGGCAAAAUGGUCCUCGUAUCUGCUCAUGGAAACAGCACUAGGGCACUGCUCAAGCAUCUGGAAGACAUCUCUGACGAGGAUAUUGUUAAUGUUACCCUCCCAACUGGUGUGCCUGUGCUUCUUGAACUCGAUGAGAAUCUGCGUCCUCUUAGCCGUCACCAGUUUCUAGGUGAUCAAGAAGCUAUCCAAGCUGCCAUCAGAAAAGUGGAAGAUCAAGGGAAAGUCAAACCUGUUGAGAAGAAAUAAUGCUUCCGGAUGCUGCCCCCACUCCCUUGUGUGUGUGGUAAUAAGUAGUGCUUUGCACUCUUGUCAGGAAAUUCCACUUUAUGAGGCCUUACUCUCAUUUCUCUUGCACUGGUGUAAAACUGCUGUAGUUUAAAUCUGAAUCCAUCCCAGUAAUUGAACUCUUUCAGUGGUCCCAAUUCUGCCCUCUGAUGCACAGAGCUCCCACUGAUUUCAAUGGAAAUUGCAUGUGCCUAUCUGAAGGCAGAAUUUGGCCCUUUGUAUGUUCAGUGCAGCCAGGCUGUGACUGCUGAGGGAACAACUAUGAAUUCCCUGAGUGCAAUGCCUGUAAAAAUCUCACAUAGAGCUGUUUGCAGUGAGUGGCUUGUUUGUUUGGAUUUUUAUAGGUUCAAGAAAACGAUUGCCCCCUGGCGAGUUGAGCAGCCUUGCACUUCUGUAGCACUCUGACUUUCAGAGUGUAGUAGUAGCUUACACUAACACAAGCUGAUCGUAACAGACAUAUUGCUGGGUAUCUUUCCUUGACAUGAAUGGUAUUUGGACACUUGGGAUUUUUGGUUAUGUUGCACUAGCAAAAGGGGGCUGGUGGCAGUCUCUCCUGGUGUUUUUUCUUUUCUUUUUUUUUAAGGUAAAGUUUCUCUUUCUAAAAUACAAAGUCAUAGUUUAUUUUAAUCCUCAAAUGUAUUGUGCACUAGAUGAUAACCUCUUUGCAAUCACCUAUACUUGUGACAUUGAAGCAACCUACAGCCUGGUAUAUGGGGUUUUUUUUGUAUAUAUUCAUCUGUAUAUGGUGUUUGAGUCAAAAAUGAUCUCCUCCUCCACAGUAGCAUCAGUACGUUGGCUGCCGAUCAGUGAACGUUCACUUUCCAGAGCCAUACUGAAGAGCCCCAUCACUAACAUGGCUUUCUCUUUGGUGUGACAGCUGACGCUAGCACUGGUGAAGAUGUUCAUGAACAGCACUACUGCAGACUUCAGCAGGAGUGGAGUCCCUCAUCUGUGUGGUUUGAGAUGUUCUUAGAUGCCUGAAUGUGGUGGGGGAGGAGAGUGAAAAGAAAUAUAGGAAAUCUAGUAUUUUUUAUAGAGUAUAAUUAGUAUAGUUUUGCAACUAAGGCUACCAGCACCACAUGCUGUUCUCCGCUAUAUACACGUAACUCCCAUUGACCACACUGGGAUUCAUGGAUGUGUAGCUGAGGCCAGCGCAUGGUUUUCAGCUGGUUACCAUACUGCAAUGCCAAAGCAGUGCAACAUAGGAAUUUUUUGGAACUUGAGAUGCUGCAGAUACAGUGUAAUGCUUAAAUGCUGAUAAAUAAGCCAAACUGCACAGGCAUUUCACAUAACGCACAGGCAGGGCUAGAUAGCCGUGUCUCGUGCUCUCCCGCAGAAGGGAAAGGAGCACUGAUCUUAAGAACACCUGACCUUUAAGUAGAUGGGUUGGAGGGAAAGUGCUGAGUAAAUGUUCAGAAGCCCUAGGUUCAGCAGCCAGUCGAGUGGGGCAAAUCAAAAAUAGUUUCAAAUGGAACUGGUUUUUUGCAAUUCUCUUAACUCAUGUGGCAGUGGGAGUGCAGCAGGAAGUUGGACUGCAGUUGUUUGGGCUGAGACUCUAUUUGAUGACAAAGCAGCUCACCAAGGUUCAAUACCCAUGCUCUUCAGCAUUGCCAGUGCAGGGAGCAACAGACUGAGACCUUCAUCUUCUCCUGGGGGCUAUAAAAUGCCCCUCAAUAGGGAUCAGAAUUGGAGGCCCAAGCCAGGAGUUCCAGUGCUGGUAAGUGGUCAGGUCUCUUGGCAUCCCUUGUAACUAUAUUAUUGACACACAAUGGGAAGGGGAGGUGUACUUGAGGACAGAAGCCAGCAUUUAUGGGGAAGGGGGCCUGAUCUACAGGCUCUCUUAUCUUACAGCAAAGAGAUGGAUGAGAAGCAGGCCAGUGACCCUUCUCAAUCCAUGAUUAGAAGAUGCUCAGAGCUCCAGAAAUAAUACAGCAUUUCCACAGCUGGUGACAUAGGCAUGGUUGGUUUGCUUAUGUGUUUGAAAUAUGUGGUUUGUUGUGUGAUCCUGUUUGAGAACACUUGUAAAUAUUUACUUGUAGAGCUGGCAAGUUCUUUAAAAUUCAAUAAACCACCUGAAAUGCAA
This is an RNA transcript of Gopherus flavomarginatus (Mexican gopher tortoise), 3295 nucleotides long. It is a transcript of the gene named bisphosphoglycerate mutase, with no coding region annotated. The transcript is spliced from 6 exons. Lineage: Eukaryota; Metazoa; Chordata; Testudines; Testudinidae. The record is from RefSeq and is a predicted model, not a curated record.